Molecule: ribosomal RNA, 445 nt
Filed under: Proasellus parvulus
Lineage: Eukaryota; Metazoa; Arthropoda; Malacostraca; Isopoda; Asellidae
Description: partial 16S ribosomal RNA
Rfam family: Bacterial large subunit ribosomal RNA
Source: RNAcentral
CCUAUGAGCAGUUUAAAUGGCCGCAGUAUUUUGACUGUGCAAAGGUAGCAUAAUCACUUGCCCUUUAAUUAGGGGCUAGAAUGAAAGGGGCGACGAAAUCUAGACUAUUUAUGAAGAGAUAGAAGUUGACAUUUAGGUUAAAAGGCCUAAAUUUACCAAAGGGACGAUAAGACCCUAUAAAACUUUACCUUUUAGGCGAUCUAUUUAGGCAGGGUCUAAAGUCAAGGUUAAACUGGGGCGGUGUUAAUAAAAGCAAUUAAAUAAAAAAUAUCUAAAAUAGAUUUUAGGAACUCUCAGAGAAAGCGAACAAGUUACUUUAGGGAUAACAGCAUAAUGCCCCCAGAGAGUACUAAUCGGAGGGGGCGCUUAUGACCUCGAUGUUGAAUUGGGGUUCCCUGUAUAAGCAUAAAUAUACAAGGGCAGUCUGUUCGACUAUUAAACCCCC